RNAcentral lists this ribosomal RNA (468 nucleotides) under uncultured bacterium. RNAcentral's name for it is "partial 16S ribosomal RNA". It matches the Rfam family "Bacterial small subunit ribosomal RNA", at positions 28 to 507 of the family's 1533-position model. The record is from RNAcentral.
GACGAACGCUGGCGGCGUGCUUAACACAUGCAAGUCGAACGGAAAGGCCCUGCUUUUGUGGGGUGCUCGAGUGGCGAACGGGUGAGUAACACGUGAGUAACCUGCCCUUGACUUUGGGAUAACUUCAGGAAACUGGGGCUAAUACCGGAUAGGAGCUCCUGCUGCAUGGUGGGGGUUGGAAAGUUUCGGCGGGUGGGGAUGGACUCGCGGCUUACCAGCUUGUUGGUUGGGUAGUGGCUUACCAAGGCUUUGACGGGUAGCCGGCCUGGGAGGGUGACCGGCCACAUGGGGACUGAGAUACGGCCCAGACGCCUACGGGAGGCAGCAGUGGGGAAUAUUGCACAAUGGGCGGAAGCCUGAUGCAGCGACGCCGCGUGCGGGAUGACGGCCUUCGGGGUGUGAACCGCUUUCGCCUGUGACGAAGCGGGAGUGACGGUAAUGGGUAAAGAAGCACCGGCUAACUACGUG